This 293-nucleotide ribosomal RNA is filed under the name uncultured microorganism. RNAcentral describes it as "partial 16S ribosomal RNA". It matches the Rfam family "Bacterial small subunit ribosomal RNA", at positions 505 to 796 of the family's 1533-position model. The record is from RNAcentral.
GUGCCAGCAGCCGCGGUAAUACGUAGGGCGCAAGCGUUGUCCGGAAUUAUUGGGCGUAAAGAGCUUGUAGGUGGCUUGUCGCGUCUGCCGUGAAAACCCGAGGCUCAACCUCGGGCGUGCGGUGGGUACGGGCACGCUAGAGUGUGGUAGGGGAGACUGCAACUCCUGGUGUAACGGUGAUAUGCGCAGAUAUCAGGAAGAACCCGCAUGGCGAAGGCAGGUCUCUGGGCCAUUACUGACCAGAAGAGGGUAAAGGCAUGGGGAACGAACAGGAGUACAUACGCUGGUAGUCC